Molecule: ribosomal RNA, 697 nt
Filed under: Bacillus subtilis
Lineage: Bacteria; Bacillati; Bacillota; Bacilli; Caryophanales; Bacillaceae
Description: bacterial SSU rRNA
Rfam family: Bacterial small subunit ribosomal RNA
Source: RNAcentral
UGGCUUUGGCUACCACUUACAGAUGGACCCGCGGCGCAUUAGCUAGUUGGUGAGGUAACGGCUCACCAAGGCAACGAUGCGUAGCCGACCUGAGAGGGUGAUCGGCCACACUGGGACUGAGACACGGCCCAGACUCCUACGGGAGGCAGCAGUAGGGAAUCUUCCGCAAUGGACGAAAGUCUGACGGAGCAACGCCGCGUGAGUGAUGAAGGUUUUCGGAUCGUAAAGCUCUGUUGUUAGGGAAGAACAAGUACCGUUCGAAUAGGGCGGUACCUUGACGGUACCUAACCAGAAAGCCACGGCUAACUACGUGCCAGCAGCCGCGGUAAUACGUAGGUGGCAAGCGUUGUCCGGAAUUAUUGGGCGUAAAGGGCUCGCAGGCGGUUUCUUAAGUCUGAUGUGAAAGCCCCCGGCUCAACCGGGGAGGGUCAUUGGAAACUGGGGAACUUGAGUGCAGAAGAGGAGAGUGGAAUUCCACGUGUAGCGGUGAAAUGCGUAGAGAUGUGGAGGAACACCAGUGGCGAAGGCGACUCUCUGGUCUGUAACUGACGCUGAGGAGCGAAAGCGUGGGGAGCGAACAGGAUUAGAUACCCUGGUAGUCCACGCCGUAAACGAUGAGUGCUAAGUGUUAGGGGGUUUCCGCCCCUUAGUGCUGCAGCUAACGCAUUAAGCACUCCGCCUGGGAGUACGGUCGCAA